Long non-coding RNA from Rhododendron vialii, 754 nucleotides. RefSeq lists it as uncharacterized. Lineage: Eukaryota; Viridiplantae; Streptophyta; Magnoliopsida; Ericales; Ericaceae. The transcript has 3 exons. The record is from RefSeq and is a predicted model, not a curated record.
GUUGAAUUCUUAAUCUGGGUUCACCCACGGAGGAUCCAAACUGUUGGUUUGGUCAGUUGGUCGUCCUGUACAGAGACCAAACAGACAACUCUCUGUCGUUAGAGAAGAUGAAGAUGGAUAUAAUAAGCAUAGCCUCUCACACACCACAGCAGCAGAUGGCAAAAAUCUUUCCUCUCUCUGGGAAUUCAGCUGUGAUUUUGAAGUAGAUUAUGAGUCUGAAGAAAAUGUUCAAGUUGUCUACUCGGCAUUGGCUGUCGAUAAGGAGGUUUUGCUUCGUGAUGCUCCAAUUUAUACCAAUUUUCUUGUGUUAAAACUUCUUUAGUUAGAUGGCGCUAAAUGUUCUGUUCAUCUAUAUUUGCAGCCGGACAAAGUGAAAAAGGCAGAUGUUGGUAUCUAAUGGCAAGCUCUCUGUGCAUUUUGAAGCUGUUGAAGCAAGAUUUCUUCGCACAUCCUUCAGUUCUUUCAUGGACAUUCUCACACUUGCUACAAAAACAAUUGAAGAAUUUGGACAAGGAAUGGAAUUAUUGCAUUCUUCUUAGUACCCUCCUGUUAUUGCUUGUUACUGGUUUUUCCAUCCAUUGAAAUUAAUGCUUCAGAUUUAAACGUUUAAUGCAGCAAUAUUUCAUAACUUUGUUUGAUAUCCAUUGCAAUUUGGACGUCACAGAUAAGAAUUGAGAUGAGUCCAUGUACUAGCAAUGCCAACUCACAAACAACCAUUGUUCCAAAGAAAUAGCAAUGGGCUUGAUUUUGCUAA